RNAcentral lists this long non-coding RNA (1106 nucleotides) under Homo sapiens (human). RNAcentral's name for it is "HSALNT0317668". Lineage: Eukaryota; Metazoa; Chordata; Mammalia; Primates; Hominidae. The record is from RNAcentral.
GUAUCUUGGACCCAAACUUUCAGACCUUGAGGAGAACAAGAAACCUUCAAACAGGAAAAAAAUAGAUAUAUAAAAAUAAUAAAUAUCAGGCCUAGCUGAGGACCCUGAGGGCAGAGGUGAGGUCCCGCCUUCCCACGCUGUCAGCAGGCGUCACGGUGGAAACUAGCUGAGGACCCUGAGGGCAGAGGUGAGGUCCCGCCUUCCCACGCUGUCAGCAGGCGUCACAUCACGGUGGAAACUAGCUGAAGACCCUGAGGGCAGAGAUGAAGUCCCGCCUUCCCACGCUGUCAGCAGGCGUCACAGUGGAACAGUGAUGCUUUCAGACAUGCAAGUCUCAACAUUGUUCUCCGUCACAUACUCCUCAAAUCUCCACUAGAAGAUAUGUUCCAUUAAAAUAAAAAAAAUCCAAAAAAGAAUAUGACACAAAAUCCAUGAAGGAGGGGAUCCAAUAUGAGAGAGACAGAGGGACCAGAGGGACCUCCAGGAUGAUCCUGACUCGAGAUCCCAAGAUGCCAGCUGUGCUGCCAACAUAAGGAUUAUAUAGUCGAGAUUAGCACAGGCCAGAAAUGUCCAGAAGAGAUUUCCUCAAGAUGAAAUGGAUAGAAUACCUCAGAGAGACUGGGACCAGUGCUGGAAGCAACACAGCCGAAAUGCAGCGUUGUUGAGAGAGGGCUCCUAAACUGGAUUUUGGAGGAACUGAAUUCAGAAUGAUCAAAGUACAACCAAAUGUACUUGAGACGUCCACAGCCAGUUCAGACAUGGGGCUGGAAUGAUGUGUCAAAGCCCACAGAAUGUAGAACACCCAGAGUGAACCCUAAUGUGAACAUGGACUUCGGAUGAUGAUGUCGGUUCAUCGAAACACCCAGAGUGAACCCUAAUGUGAACAUGGACUUCGGAUGAUGAUGUCGGUUCAUUGAAAACACCCAGAGUGAACCCUAAUGUGAACAUGGACUUUGGAUGAUGAUGUGGGUUCAUCGAUUGUACCAAAAAUGCCUCUGUGGUACAGGAUGCUGACGGUGCGGAAGGCCACGAGUGUGUGGAGCAGGGGUAUAUGGGAACUCUCUGUACCUUCCACUUAAAUUUGUUGUGAACCUAAAAUUGCUCUA